Molecule: ribosomal RNA, 451 nt
Filed under: uncultured bacterium
Lineage: Bacteria
Description: partial 16S ribosomal RNA
Rfam family: Bacterial small subunit ribosomal RNA
Source: RNAcentral
AACGAACGCUGGCGGCAGGCUUAACACAUGCAAGUCGAACGGGUGUAGCAAUACAUCAGUGGCAGACGGGUGAGUAACACGUGGGAACCUUCCUAGGGGUACGGAACAACUCAGGGAAACUUGAGCUAAUACCGUAUACGUCCGUGAGGAGAAAGAUUUAUCGCCCUUAGACGGGCCCGCGUCGGAUUAGCUAGUUGGGGGGGUAACGGCCUACCAAGGCGACGAUCCGUAGCUGAUCUUAGAGGAUGAUCAGCCACACUGGGACUGAGACACGGCCCAGACUCCUACGGGAGGCAGCAGUGGGGAAUCUUUGACAAUGGGCGCAAGCCUGAUCCAGCCAUGCCGCGUGAGUGAAGAAGGUCUUCGGAUUGUAAAGCUCUUUUGCCAGGGACGAUAAUGACGGUACCUGGAGAAUAAGCCCCGGCAAACUUCGUGCCAGCCGCCGCUGUAA